This 1017-nucleotide ribosomal RNA is filed under the name Pseudoxenos sp. DPM-2011. RNAcentral's name for it is "partial 16S large subunit ribosomal RNA". Lineage: Eukaryota; Metazoa; Arthropoda; Insecta; Strepsiptera; Xenidae. The record is from RNAcentral.
UUUAUUGAAUUAUAUUUUAUUUAGUAUAAUUAAGAAAAAAGUAUUUUUAUAAUAGAGAAUUAGUAGUGUAAGUGAAAUAGAUGAAUUAUUUAAAAGAAUAUUUAAUUUAUUGUAUCUUGUGUAUCAGAGUUUAUUAAAAAUAUUUUAAAAAUUUUAAAUAUCUCGAAAUCUUAAGGGUUAUAUUUAAGUUUUAUUAAUGUUUUAUAAUUAUAGAGAAGUUAAAUAUGGUAAUGAAAAGUUAAUCGGUUAAGAUAAUAUCUAGUUUUUUUAGAAUUAAAUUUAAUUUAUUUUAAUUUAUAAUUUAGGUUUAGUUUAAUAAAUUUAAAUUAAUUUAUUCUUUAAGGGAAAAGCUUUAGAGAAAGAUUAUAUUUUUAAAUAAUAAAAGAAAAUAAAUAGGAUUAAUAUUGCCAUUUUUAAUAAUUAUUUAUAAAAAAUUUAUAAGUUUAUGAAGAUUUUUUAAGGAUUAAAUUGACUAUAAAAAUAUAUUUUUUAAUUUAAUUAAAAGAGUGAUAAUGAUAAAAUUAGUAAAAUUUAUUAAUUUAUAGGAAUAAAAUAGAAUUUAUUUUUAUGAAUUAGGCAAAAUUAUUUUCACCUGUUUAGUAAAAACAUGGUUGUUUGAAUUAAAUAAAUAAUUGAAUCUGCCCAUUGAAGUUUAAAAGGCUGCAGUAUACUGACUGUACAAAGGUAGCAUAAUCAUUAGUUUUUUAAUUGAAAACUUGUAUGAAGGAUUUGAUGAAAGGUAAGCUUUAUUAAUAUAAAUUAUUGAAGUUUUUAUUUAAGUGAAAAAACUUAAAUAUUAAAGAUAGACGAUAAGACCCUAUAAAAUUUUAUUAUUAAAUUAAGUUAAAUUAGUUUAAUAAUUUAGUUGGGGCAAUUGAAAUUAUUAAAUAAUUUAUUUUUAUAACUUAUGAUGUUAGUGUUAAGGAUCUUAUUUUUAGGAUAUUAAAAAGAAUUGCUUUAGGGAUAACAGCGUAAUAAAUUUUUAUAGUUCUUAUAGAAAAAUAGGUUUGCGACCUC